Long non-coding RNA from Hemicordylus capensis (graceful crag lizard), 959 nucleotides. RefSeq lists it as uncharacterized. The transcript has 4 exons. The record is from RefSeq and is a predicted model, not a curated record. Lineage: Eukaryota; Metazoa; Chordata; Lepidosauria; Squamata; Cordylidae.
CUCAGUUGGACCCACUGAGAACCAAAACAACCCUGUCUACAUAGCCUUAACCUGGAUUCUGCUUCUUGGUCGCACUAGAGCGUGACGGAACAUUAACCUACAUAGGCUACCAAAGUGCCAGUCCUUAUGAGGGGUGCCCAAGUACAGUUCAUUGGCCCCGUCCCAAAGUCGCCCCGGAAGGUUCUCAUUGUUGUUUUGUUCCCAAGCUGGGAGUACAGUAAAGUGGAUUAUCAUCAGCAGGAGGUUCUGCAGAAGCAUCCAGAGCAGGGAUGGAUGGGAGAUGCAGUUUGAGUGUAACACAAGCCUUGCAGUGUGAGUUCGCAAGGUGGGUACACCUUGGCAGCCACCUGUGGUGGUCUGCUGGUUGCUUGGCAAUCAACUCCUCCCGCCGUCUGCCGUCUCACGCAGGUCACUAAAUGUGCAGACAAGCUCCUGGGGAAUAUGGAGAUUUGAAUGGAAUGUCCCUACGUUGAAUGGAGGGCCUAUUUGGAGAUUACAAGAAUUUGGGCUCAACUUGCAUUAAAUACAGUUGUGCUGAGGGAAAAUGCUUCACUGGCAUUACAGAAGUGUACAUACCACUCUCGAAUGAAGUGUCAACCUCAGUUUUGCAGUGGGGGAAAGGGCCACAAGAGCUUCCCCAAAUUUGGACCCAGUGUCCAAUAAAUCCCAGGAAGUUAGGCCAAUGGGGAGAAAGGAACCAUUCAAUUCCCAUUUUCCUCUUUCCUGGCUGCAAGCUUAAACACCCUCAUGAGUGUCUUUAUUAAGAGGUGAACUUCCAAUGCUGCCUGUAGCUUAAGGGUUUUCUUCCCCACCCUUUGGUGCUUGUAAAAAGACGACACUCACCCACACUUGAAACCUUGUGAGGAUAAUUUGUGUAGAAACUUCUGCUUGUGGAGAGAUUGUCUAUUGGCUAACUGGCUGAUAUUGCCUCUUGGACUCUUUGAACAAAGCGUUUUGCA